UUUUUUUCUUACCUGUUUUCCUUUUACCCUGACACCUCCAAGUAUUGAUUUCGUAAUUUUGUGUAUACAUUUUGAAAAUCAAUUUUUUUGAAACUCCUAUUCUGCUGAAAGAUUGAGGAAGAAGUUUUUUAAAUAAAGAUUUCACAGAGACAACAUCUGUGCCUCACUCUUUAGUUAAAUUCUGUAGUUCCAAUUAUUCCUAACAUCGUAACCGAACUGAAUCAGAAAGUAGUUUAGUGGCGUUUUAAAAAUUGCAUCUCUAUUAAAUUCAGAACUCUAAGAUCCUCAAGUAGGGGGAACAUAGACUUCAGAAGACGUUUAAACCUCGUGAUAUAAGCAAAAUGUUGUUAGUACACACAAAUGUAUAUUUUCCUGGGUCAAAAUCUGAGGCUUUCACCAAAUAUGCAAAGUCUAUUAUUCCGAAAAAAGGUCAAGAACUUCUGGGCUGAGUUACAUUAACCCUUCUGAGUCCCCCUCCCCCAGAGUCACAAGGCUGGUUUUUGCUUUUUCUGUCAGGAUCCUAAACUUCUGUCAGAAUGUUGAUGUGUGCUUUGUUCUGGGAGCGCACACUCAGUAAAUGUUAGUUGACUUGCAUUGAUAUUUAAUUAUUUACACUGCAUUUGGUGUCUGGAAUGGCAGUCUCUGGUUGAUCAUUCUGGAACUCUGAAUCCAUCGGCUGCAUCCCCAUGGGCUUGGCGUGUUGUAGACACACAAAUCAAAGUAGUGUGAGGGAGGAGAAAAAUCAUUCCCUUCUAGGAUAAUGCAUUUUUCAUGAGAAACAGGUCAUUACGGAACCAUUGCCUCCUGCUUGCUCUCAUUCUACCUCUCCAUCCUUUUCUCUCUUGUCAAAUUAUUCCGCCUCUUUGGUCGUCUCUCAGUGUCUCCCCUCUGCUUUAUUACUCUGUAUUUGAUUAUCUUACCGUCUCCUUCUUUCUGAUAUAUUUAGAUGAUUUCAACAUAAUAUGCACCUUUGAACUCCUUUCUUGUGUAUGUAACUUUUGUUCCUUUUCAUCGUGGGGCAUCUGUCUCUUUGUUAGCUGUCCAGUAGAUGCAUUGCACAGAUUUUCUCAAACUUAUCAUUUCAAUUCCCAACACAUAAAAAGACAAUGCUCAUAUCCUGUUUUUCCACGAUACUUUCAUUCUCCCUGAAGAUUUAAUUUUAUUGCCCAUUGUAGUAGUUUCCCAUUUCCUUUUAAGUCUGUGAAUACAGACUCACUAAUUGACUUGUGCCAGUUUUCUAUCUGUUAUGCAAAUUCUGGGGCGAUUUCCUCCCAAAUGAUGGACUUGAGGUGAUCAAUCUAUCACAUGUCUUCGAGCAAUGCUCUCUUCUCUGGUUACAAUCAGGAGUGGGCUGAGGGAACCCAGAGAUUUUUGAAGAAGGAGAUUUAUGUCAUGAGAGAAGACUCUGGUAGGGAAAACAUGUCCCAGUGAAAACUUCUUUCAUGUUUCUGUUGAGAGGUUUUUCGUUGUUGCUGUUGUUGUUGUAAAGCAGCUAAGUUAUAAUUUUUACCAAAAUUUAAUUACAUUCAGAGAGUAAACAUCUGGAAAUCAUCCUGAGUAAUCAGCGUGAACUCAUAUGGUGAAUCAGAGGCUUAUAUUAUAUGCCAGGGUUUAGAGAUUACAAUCUUAAUGAUCUGUACAUUAUUCAUAAGUCUUUGUUUUAAAGCUGUCUGUAAGAAAUAAUUAGAAUUCAAGCCAUUCAUGAAACAGGAAACUUGCCACUUUAUUUCUUACUUGAUUUCUUACACAUAAGCACAUCUCCCUCUGGGCGGUGGGGUUGUUAGAAGAAAGAGUUAAGUAUUGGUUUGUUUUUGGUGUGUAUGCUUUUUUCUUUACUUCAUUCAAUUUGUGAAAUUUAAGAAGCAGUAGGGAUCCUAAGUCAGGCAAGUAAACUGGAAAACAAUAAAACUUGAAAACUACCCAGGCGUGAAAUCCCCUUGAACUAAGGAAUGCUUCCAACAUUGUGUUCUUCGUAAGCAUGAACAAUGAAUGAUAACAUUUCAAAAUUAGUUUUUGAAGGGAGGUGCAUAAUAGGAAACUUGAUCAUCUAAAAUCAGCCAAACCCACCUUCUUACGAACCUCCGAGAAUAGCCUAUCCCCCUACCCAGUAUGACCUAAAAAUAACAGAUUACAUCUCAUCCCCAAAGUAACUUGGCUUGCGCUCAAGAAUUAAUACAUACAUGACACUCAGAAUGGCAUCCAAAAAAAGAAGUGGCGUUCUCUUUCUUGUGAGCUGUCACAGUGCGGUAAGCCUCCCUGGCUCUGUAAUCCUAAUUAAUGUUCGUUGUCUUCACUGCGUUUGGUGUGAAAAAUGUGGAGCGGGAACACUCUUGAGUGGGAAUCAGGCUCUCAAGAGGCUGCCGUUUCAGAAGGUAGACGUCAUGUUUCAGACCUCCAACCAUCUAUGCUGUCACAGUCAUGACGAACAGAAGGCACUGAGACUCCCAGGACCAACUAUCAACCAUCAUCUUCGUUGCCUUUGUGACAGCUGCUCUGAGGGGGAAGAAAGUGCACUUCCUAGAGAGAGAUGACCUUUGCAAAGUGGAGCUAUUUGUAAAGACUUCUGUUUCUCCGGGGGAUUUUUUUUCUCACUCAGAAGGAUCAACCACAAAGAUUCAGUCCAGGAGGUGCCCUCCCACAAACUGCCAUGCCAGUGAAUGGGCCCCAUUCUGUGGUGUCUGAGGAAUGUGUAUCCUUUCUUGAUGUCAAUCCAGUAAAUCAGAGUUUACUCCAAAUUCGUUUUUUGAUUUUUUUGUUUUUUUUUUUUUUUAAUUAAACUAAGUGUCUACUGAGGACAGAAAUAGGAUUGGUGAUAAAUGUCACUGAGAAAACAAUUCAAUACGAAGAACUUCCUAACAAUCAGAGCUGUUCAAGUUAAAAAAAAAAAAAAUAGCCUGCCAUUUGGAGGAAUUGAAGUCCCUGUGAAGGGAGACAGUCAAGAGAAGGCUCUCACAGCUUAUUGGGGUGACUGUCUAAUUAUGUUAACUUUUAUCUCCUUCAAUGCACUGUAGUCAUGCUGAGGCCAGGUGUUUUGUUUUGUUUUACUUUGUCUUGUUUUUGGAUUUCUGGACACACUGAAGAUAUUCAAUAAAUACAUUUUUAUGAAUGAAAGAAUAACACAGGGGGACCCUGCAUUCAUUGAGUGGGACAUUGGACAGAGAAAAUUUAAGAUAUCUUAAUUGUGAAAUUCUUGGAAAAGUUCAUUGUCCUGCAGAAAAGCAAAUUCAGUGGUAAAGGUGCGAUGUCAUAGUGAAUGUUUUGCAAUUUUUUACAACUCUUGACUACCUCUAGAUUGUUGUCAAUUCCUUCCUGCAAUUCUCUACUUAGACUACUUUCUUCCUAAUUUCAGGCACCAACUUCAUACUUGGAUGUCCUGGAAGUAAGAAAUCAUUCUUUUUAUUGCACAAUGUGUAAUAUUUCAAAGAGCCAUACUGCCAAAUCAUCUCAUACCAGAAUGAGACAUAUACUGAUUGCAAAAAAGACUUGAUUACAAAAACUUUGAAGUUUCACAUUAUAGCAAAUAACGACAACUUUGUUAACUUCUGGAUUCUACAAUACUUGUUUGCUUCAUAUAGAAUAUACUUGAAUCUCCUAUCAUUCUAGAGUCCAACCAGUAUCCUGAUUUGUUCAGCUCUGUGUUUCAACACUUUGAGUCUCAAUUCUUCAGAUGGUGAUAAAAUCAGUUUAAUGGGUUGCAAACCAAAAUUUAAAAGAAAAAUGACUAGUGUGAAACAGAAAAUAUCAGAAUACAUCAUACUUAGUAGGAAAAAUAUUUUUCUCAUGAAGCUCUUAUUUCAGCAACUUCGAUUAAUGUGUGUCUGUUGUGAUAUAAAAUGUAUUUCUUGCAGUGGAUAAUGUAUAAAAAAAAGUUUUGAAAAUAUUGGUUUACAGGAUGCUCCAGGGCCCUUAUAAUAAUGACCAUAGUUUGUCACUAGUUUAAUUUUCUUAGAAGAUUGAUAGUCAGGCUUAUGCCUAGUGAAAUUUUUCAGUUCGAAAUUUCUUAUCAGCAGUAAGAAGAACAGAUGACCCAGUUCUCAAAGUUUGUGCACUUGAGCCAACUGGAAUUCAAAUAAGAAAUAUAGGAUGUUAAUUUAUUUUACACCAUCCUCAGAUGAACUGAAGGUCAGGUGCUUCACAAGCUCCAAGGGUCCCCACACUUAUGACCUGCUUCCUUGUCCGGGGUCUAUGUGCAGCCAUCAUUUUUCUCCUGGAUUUAGCUUCAUCGCCGUUCUCCUUUCCAUCUUGAGAGCCCACUGUUAGAGUGUCCUUUGCUCUUUUUCUUAGCACGAGGCAAACAUGUGAGGCAAAGUUUAUAAGAAUUAAGUAUUUCUAAGAAUCUCAGUUUUGAGAGGUUGUUAGAAAGGAGCUCUUUCCUCUACCUUAUUUUCCCUCCUUUUUCUCCCACUCACCCCCAAACCACAAGGUAAGUGUUUAAAGCCACUCUUGUUGUUCAAAGUGGUCUCUGUCUCCUUUAAAGUAGUGGUCUCCUUUAAAGUGGUGACAAUGGUUGGAAUAAGUUAAAAUAAAAAAAAAUAAGCGAAUGUGAACAGUUUUGAAUUGCCUUUUUCUAUUUUCCUUCAGUAACUAUAAAUAAUAAUACACUUCAUAAGAAGAAUAUAGUUGAUGCUUACAAAUAUUCUUUCAACAGAACUAAAAUGUUGAAUGCAUUUCACUUGAUAAUAUAUUUUCCAUUUCCAUUUACUGGUUCUUUUCAAAAAAACCUCCCCUACUCCCAUUUCUACCUUAUCAGAAUGGUGCAUACAGAAUAUUUGACUUGAGGCUAAGUCUAUUUUCUCAAUUUUUUUUGAGUGACUAUUCUCUAAAGAAAGUAUUAUUAAAAACAGACUUCUACAAAAAUGGACUUUAACCCUAAUUACCUUCUUUGAAUAUGAGAAGGAUAUUUUGAUUUCCCAAAUGCACAUUAACUGAAUUCUUGAAAUGGAUCCCUUCAUGGCUGACUCUUCUUUAUUUUUUUCUGUAAUAGAAACAUGACGUUGUCUCCCAGAGACCUCUAAAGACUCCAUUGCAUGUGUCUUGCAGGAGCUAAA
Molecule: long non-coding RNA, 5048 nt
Organism: Felis catus (domestic cat)
Lineage: Eukaryota; Metazoa; Chordata; Mammalia; Carnivora; Felidae
Exons: 4
Source: RefSeq, a predicted model, not a curated record